GACAGAGGGGGCAAGCGUUGCUCGGAAUCACUGGGCGUAAAGGGCGCGUAGGCGGUGCGGUAAGUCACCUGUGAAAUCUCUGGGCUCAACUCAGAGCUUGCAGGCGAAACUGCCGUGCUGGAGUGUGGGAGAGGUGCGUGGAAUUCCCGGUGUAGAGGUGAAAUUCGUAGAUAUCGGGAGGAACACCGGUGGCGAAGGCGGCGACCUGGGACGAUACUGACGCUGAGGUGCGAAAGCGUGGGGAGCAAACAGG
Molecule: ribosomal RNA, 253 nt
Filed under: uncultured prokaryote
Description: partial 16S ribosomal RNA
Rfam family: Bacterial small subunit ribosomal RNA
Source: RNAcentral